CAGAAUGUGAUUGUGUUCAUUCAUAAGUAAUCACAAUACACAUGAUGGGCAAACAUGACAAGGAGAAGAGACAAUGUGCUAUACCAUCCAGAGCUAGACCAAAUGAAUCCAAGAAGUAAAAUUUGAAUCUCACAGGCUGGCUGAAAGGGAUUUCGCAUUCACUGGACAGGAGCACGAAGGCAACUUUGUUGUACCGUAGGAUCAAAAGAGAUGAUCUCUCCAAUUUGUCAAGAUCAUUUGAGAUUCUAAUUCUGUUUUCCACAUGUUCAGAAUCCCUCCAUCUCCUGCCAUACGCAAAUUUACUUAAUAUA
This is a long non-coding RNA of Struthio camelus australis, 311 nucleotides long. RefSeq lists it as uncharacterized. The record is from RefSeq and is a predicted model, not a curated record. NCBI's taxonomy places the organism in Eukaryota, Metazoa, Chordata, Aves, Struthioniformes, Struthionidae.